UAGCGGCUUCCAUGGCAUAACGCAGCCAGCGGGAGUCCCCAAGUUCCAGCGAUACUGUCAUCAGCUAAACUCACUCUUCCCUGAGUUCUGGCGCACCGUGCCGAGCCAGCUGCUUUCACCCAGCUUUGUGUCUCAUGUAGGCCAAAGCAGAGCAAGAUUGCCUUCCCUUCAGUGCAAGACUUAACUACUUCCCAAUACAAUAGAAAAUGCAAAUGAGAAGUAAUAUCCUACUUAACUGCCCUGAGAUAAUAUUUUAAAUCACAUAUCCACUUGGUUGUGAAGGUUGGUCUAUUGUAAUCGGUUUCUUCUCUGAUAUUUUGUUUCUUUCCCUCUAAACAUUUCUUUGGUAAUGGGAAGUCAAAAAACACUUUUUGUUAAAGCUUAAGAUUUGUUCAAAUUUCAAAGAGAAUGCCCUUAUUUGGAGAUUGGGAGGGAACUACACCAUUUAUAAACCUAUACUUGGUUUUAGGGUUUCAACUCAACAAGAGUUUCUAGUUUUGAUGUUUUUUGAACUUCCAAACAAAUUGAUAAGAUCAGUUUCAAACCUACAUCAUGUUUUCCUUCUGGAAUACAAUUAUCUUUCCUUCAAAAAUCUAGGCAAUAGUAUUAUUUCAAAUACAUCCUGUGACAUUCUUAUGCACAUACAUGUACAUAUAAAUACACCUAGACAUUCAGCACAGUUAAGGUCAUAUUAAGAGGACACAAAUGAACACAACAAGUGGAUCACACCAGAAGUUCUCAGUACAAUGAUCCCCCCUUUCUAAAAGGCGGGGCUGGAGGGAUGUAUGGCAAGUUCUAGCGAGGCACAUAUUAAAAGAUGACAGAUAAACA
Molecule: long non-coding RNA, 831 nt
Organism: Gopherus flavomarginatus (Mexican gopher tortoise)
Lineage: Eukaryota; Metazoa; Chordata; Testudines; Testudinidae
Exons: 2
Source: RefSeq, a predicted model, not a curated record